CCUCCCAGCCCUUCCUCCCCCACACCCACGGGAUCUGAUCCAGGCAGCCCGCCGCCGGCACAGCUGCAGCCGGGAACAUGCCAGGCAGAACAAUUACUCUAGAGACUUUGGGAGUUUCAAGACAACUGAAUGCACGAUAAGAAAGGAGAUAUCUUGGGGAAGAUAGACUGUUCAUCUCUACUGGGAUUCUUCUGUAAGUCACAUUAUUGACUUUAAGGCAAAAGGCCAUGAAAGUGUGCCUUUCCUUGAGACAGUAAGCUCUCUGUUUUCUGAAGUGAAUGGAAAAAAAGGAGUGUAUUGGUUCCCCAUGUCAGUUUCCAGAAAUGAGUAUACUGUACAGCGUACUUCAUCUACAACGUUACCAAACACAAUUUAUUGUUACUCAGAUGAUUCAGAAGACCUUCUGGGACCGCAUCAAGAUAAACAACAAAUAUUUUGUGCUGCAGCUGUGUGGAGGAGACAUUGUCCAGUGACUUCUAGAUAUGAGUCAGAAAAAUAAAAAUAAAUGCUGUUCUCUGUUAUAACA
Suricata suricatta (meerkat) is the source of this 526-nucleotide long non-coding RNA. RefSeq lists it as uncharacterized. The record is from RefSeq and is a predicted model, not a curated record. The transcript is spliced from 2 exons. Lineage: Eukaryota; Metazoa; Chordata; Mammalia; Carnivora; Herpestidae.